CUGGCGGCACGCCUAACACAUGCAAGUCGAGCGCUUCACUUCGGUGAGGAGCGGCGGACGGGUUAGUAACGCGUGGGAACAUACCCUUUUCUAAGGAAUAGCCACUGGAAACGGUGAGUAAUACCUNNUACGCCCUUCGGGGGAAAGAUUUAUCGGUGAAGGAUUGGCCCGCGUUAGAUUAGAUAGUUGGUGGGGUAAUGGCCUACCAAGUCUACGAUCUAUAGCUGGUUCGAGAGGAUGAUCAGCAACACUGGGACUGAGACACGGCCCAGACUCCUACGGGAGGCAGCAGUGGGGAAUCUUAGACAAUGGGCGCAAGCCUGAUCUAGCGAUGCCGCGUGAGUGAUGAAGGCCUUAGGGUCGUAAAGCUCUUUCGCCAGGGAUGAUAAUGACAGUACCUGGUAAAGAAACCCCG
RNAcentral lists this ribosomal RNA (415 nucleotides) under uncultured Paracoccaceae bacterium. RNAcentral's name for it is "bacterial SSU rRNA". It matches the Rfam family "Bacterial small subunit ribosomal RNA", at positions 36 to 495 of the family's 1533-position model. The record is from RNAcentral. Lineage: Bacteria; Pseudomonadati; Pseudomonadota; Alphaproteobacteria; Rhodobacterales; Paracoccaceae.